UGCAUGAAGUCGGAAUUGCUAGUAAUCGCAGAUCAGCAUGCUGCGGUCGAAUACGUUCCCGGGCCUUGUACACACCGCCCGUCACACCAUGGGAGUCGGUAACACCCGAAGUCGGUAGCCUAACCGUAAGGAGGGCGCCGCCGAAGGUGGGAUUGAUGACUGGGGUGAAGUCGUAACAAGGUAGC
Molecule: ribosomal RNA, 185 nt
Filed under: uncultured bacterium
Lineage: Bacteria
Description: partial 16S ribosomal RNA
Rfam family: Bacterial small subunit ribosomal RNA
Source: RNAcentral